UGGGGAAUAUUGCACAAUGGGCGCAAGCCUGAUGCAGCCAUGCCGCGUGUAUGAAGAAGGCCUUCGGGUUGUAAAGUACUUUCAGCGAGGAGGAAGGUAUUGUGGUUAAUAACCGCAGUGAUUGACGUUACUCGCAGAAGAAGCACCGGCUAACUCCGUG
This 160-nucleotide ribosomal RNA is filed under the name uncultured Citrobacter sp. RNAcentral describes it as "partial 16S ribosomal RNA". It matches the Rfam family "Bacterial small subunit ribosomal RNA", at positions 355 to 507 of the family's 1533-position model. The record is from RNAcentral. Lineage: Bacteria; Pseudomonadati; Pseudomonadota; Gammaproteobacteria; Enterobacterales; Enterobacteriaceae.